This 624-nucleotide ribosomal RNA is filed under the name uncultured bacterium. RNAcentral describes it as "bacterial SSU rRNA". The stretch from base 1 to 540 matches the Rfam family "Bacterial small subunit ribosomal RNA", at positions 338 to 873 of the family's 1533-position model. The record is from RNAcentral.
CCUACGGGAGGCAGCAGUGGGGAAUUUUGGACAAUGGGGGCAACCCUGAUCCAGCCAUGCCGCGUGAGUGAAGAAGGCCUUCGGGUUGUAAAGCUCUUUCGGCCGGGAAGAAAUCGCAUAGGCUAAUACCCUGUGUGGAUGACGGUACCGGAAUAAGAAGCACCGGCUAACUACGUGCCAGCAGCCGCGGUAAUACGUAGGGUGCGAGCGUUAAUCGGAAUUACUGGGCGUAAAGCGUGCGCAGGCGGUUUCGUAAGACAGAGGUGAAAUCCCCGGGCUCAACCUGGGAACUGCCUUUGUGACUGCGAGGCUAGAGUACGGCAGAGGGGGGUGGAAUUCCACGUGUAGCAGUGAAAUGCGUAGAGAUGUGGAGGAACACCGAUGGCGAAGGCAGCCCCCUGGGCCGAUACUGACGCUCAUGCACGAAAGCGUGGGUAGCAAACAGGAUUAGAUACCCUGGUAGUCCCACGACCUAACGAUGUCACUAGUGUUGGUGGGUAAACGUAACUUAGUUACGUAGCUACGCGUGAGUGUACCGCCGUGGAGGUACGGCCGCGAGGUAAACGUACGUAAGUAAGUAGUUAGCGUGUUAGAGAGCGACGGACGACGACGACGGAGGAGGAG